CUACGACGUCGUGGCAACCUUGUGGAUCUAUAGUCGUGUGUUGGUAACCAGUUCGUCAUUUUAAUUCUUAAUCUAUAUGGGCGGACGUGGCUAAUUUAACUUGUCCUCAUUUGCCCAAAAACUAUUUAUGAAAGACACGAAUUUGAUUAAUUCAUGUUGUUUAUUACAGGUAUAGAUAAAUCACAAAUAACAAAACGGUAAACAGGUUUUUAAACAUGUAAAUGAACAGGUUUCUAAUCAUGUAAAUGAACAGGUUUCUAAUCAUGUAAAUGAACAAAGAAGGUUUUCUUCAGAAGCUUGAACACCGAACCAUUUACUCCUCCACAUCUACUCCUCCGUCCACUCCUCUACAUGUCCCUAAAACAAGAAAAAUGAAAUAAAAGAAAGAAAGGACCAGCUUUCCAUUUCAUGACGGCAUCUGGAAUUAAACAGAGGUCACAGCCGUUACAGUAUGCUGUAGUGGCUCCAUACAUUGUUAGUGGCUACUGCGCGCAUUACCCUCCUUACACACUCCCCUGGACUGGCCCCACUAAUAAGGCUGAGAUGGUGUGUCUGGAAAAAAAACACCAUUUGUUGGCAUGCAGGGUCCUUAAGGUGGUUCUCAAGGUCCUCCAAUUCCUCCAUGCACUGAGCUGUCUUGAGGUCCAAGAUAUCAUCCUCCCUUUGACGACCCUGGUUCCUCCGCAGUAAAAGUAGAAUUUCCCUCUGGGAGGCCGCCAGGGUGUCUACUUUCUGCAGCAGCACCUGCAGUGUUUCUGCAAUAAAGGUUUUUCUUUAAAUAAUUGAAGGAUUGAAAAAAGGUAACUUAUUUUAAUUUUAAAUAUUAACAGAAUAAUUUACCAACAAAAAAAAAAUUAAUUAACCUAAGGGUUAGAGGUAGAGGUCCCAGUAACCACGGGACCCGACAAGAUUUCUUGUGAUGCGAGAUUAAAUUCCCAAGUAAAACGCGGCAGCAGUCGAUAACUUUGGUGUAAUUUGAGAGCGGUUGGUCUAACAAUAUCUUUUUCCCGACAUCCUUUCAGAACAGCAUAUCUGCGCUUUAUUCUUGUUGACCACAGGUACAUCCUGCACUCAGGACUGUUAUGCAUGCGCUGCACGCAUGAACCAGUGCUUUCUGCGGCAGAUUUUACAUGCGGGGUCAGCAUGUGCAUAAUAGUGUUCAGUGACAGAGCGGUACAAGGAUGGAGCAAAGUGUGGAUGUGCUGUCCUUGAAGGACGUUUAACAUGUUUUAAUAUAUUAUAUAUAUAUAUAUAUAUAUAGGCUAUAAUAAUUGACAGAUGUUGUAUAUAUUUAUUUAUUUUCUGUGACACUUUACUUACCAAUUUAGUAUUUUGACAAGAUGAAUAAAAAAUAGCUAAUAGGCUAUAUUUGUAUAUUUGUAAUAGGCUUUUUUUCCUACUGUGUUAAGACACAAAAUAUGUUUAACAUUCUAGUUAGAGGUAAACGCAUUUGUGUACAUUUUGUAUUUUUUGAUCACAUUUAAACACAUUUGCUAUCUUGUAUCUUUUACCUUUGAGGUCUUUUGGCACUGAAAAAUCUUGUGGACGCCUUGUCCAUGGUUGUCUCUCUGCUGAAAAGGUAGCAUCACAAUUCUGUUAGACAAUUAUGCAGACAUAUGCAGGCAAGUUUGUUUUUUUUCCUUAAGUUUUUCUCUUAUAGUAUUGAAAGUUUUUGAAUUAAUUUAAUUUAGUUGAAAAACAGCAAGUUCUUCUGCAAGUUUAAACCCUUUCCAAUAGUGACUAUAUAAUUGAUAUCCAUAUCCUUUCACUGUGAAUGAAAUUGCAAAAAAGUGAAAACAUUGUUGAGCAAGAAGGCAAAAUGAUACAUUAAACUUUUGUUUUCUGGGAAGCCUGCAUUUUAUGUAGCUUAAGAAGAACAUAACUAAUUGAACAAAUGCGAUUUAAAGGGAUAGUUCACCUAAAAUGAAAAUUAUCCCAUGAUUUACUUACCCUUUAGCCAUCCUAGGUGUAAUAUGACUUUCUCCUUUCGAACAAACACAGUCAAGAGUUAUAUUAAAAAAUAAUAUAUAUAAUGGUAGUGAAUGGGGUGUUGGAUUUUGUAGCCCAUCCAUCAUAAAGGUACUCCACGUGGCUUCAGGGGGGUUAAUAAAAUCCUUCUGAAGUGAAGCAUUAAGUUUUUGUAAGAAAAUAUCCAUAUUUAAAACUUUAUAAAAUCUUCUAAAUUAGCUUUCAGCAAACCACUAUGCAAAGUGAGUUACGGUGGAAGAGUAAACUUUGACCUGAUGUAUGAUGGAGUAUUGUAAGCUCCAAUUUGAUUUGUCUAAAAAAGAAAGUCGUAUACACCUAGAAUCUCAUGAGGGUGAUAAAAUUUUGAUGUCAUUUUCAUUUUGGGGUGAACUAUUCCUUUAAAUGUAAUUUCCAUAUUGUGUUCAAAUGUAUACACCCUCUUGCUCUUAAUGCAUCAUGUUGCCUUCUUGAUCAUCAGUGAAUGUUUUCACCUUCUUGUAAUUGCUGUGUACAAGUCCCUGAAACGUUAGGGUUAGAGAUCGCAAACCAAAAUUUCACCAAUCAGUUGUGAGCAAACGGACAAAUCACUGAUGUAAAAAAAAGUCACUCCUCCAGUUUCUCUUGUUCCAAAUUGAAGGUCACUUUAGUAUGGCUGCGAUUGUUGUAGAAUUUUCCUUGUUCAAAAUGAAUUGCUAGAGAGGUUUUGAAGCCAGUAGACUUUUUUGAUCACAAACAACAAAGUCGAGUUACGGUUUGCCAAAGGUAAUUCCAGAAUGUCUGUUUUACACUGAAAUAUAUAUAAGCCUGUAGCAGUUUACAGAAUUCCAUACAUGUACUGUUGUAUUUUUGGUGUCCUUUAACAUAUGAGUUCUUAAAGAAUGAUCAAUAGCCUGUCAUGCAUGUAUUUCUAUCUCCUGAACAAGGUCUUCUCCAAAUAUGAAUGUUUAAAUAAUUAUUUCUGUUCUAAGCUACUGCACACAGUCACACACAGUCAAAUAAUAAUAGUAGAACAAUUUCUUCUUAUAGGCAUAAUUCUGUGUAUUAUUCAGGAUUAAUAAAAAUAUUCUACACAAUCCACUUGCUAACUUCCCUCCACUUUAUGGAUUGAGAUGUAUGUCAUUGCUUGCACUGCAAAGGUUUAAAUGGAAUUGCACUAAGCCUCAUUAAAAAAAAAAGUUGUAAGUUAAGCAUGAUCUGUUGUGACGUCACAACCAAAAUGUCACAGAUUGCUUUUGACAAAACUGUAGGACCUUGCAGCAAUGGACGGGACACUUAGCACCUUUUUGACUUGGCAUCUUAGCUAAAGUUCAAAUAAUUAAAUGCUAGUAAAAAUGUAAAUUAUGCUAAUUAAAUUGUAAUUAAAAUAAAUAAAAAUAACAGCCCUCUUAUUUUGUUAAAAUUAACAUCUUGCAUGUUCUGCCACUGCUUAAAUGAACUGUACACCAUGCCCUUGAUCUGUAAAAAGUUGUGUGCAUUACAGUAGUGAACUUGCAUGUCUCUCAUGUAGUAUAAAAAUAACAUUUAAUAUAUGCCACUCUGUUGUUUGCUCUGAACUGAUUCUUGACAAAUUUAUCUACAGAUUUCUUUACCAUUUGAAUAUUCUGUUGCUGCCAUUGGGGAUGGUCUGGGAGGCUCUUCAACAUCUGCAAGCAAGUUGAAUACACAGUUGUUAAGCUUAAGUUGGAGGCCACAUAUUCUUCAGUCACAUCAAUUUAAAUUCUACCUUCAGCUGUUGCCUUGAGACGAGGAAAGGGUUCAUCUGAAUGGGAAG
Molecule: long non-coding RNA, 3739 nt
Organism: Cyprinus carpio carpio
Lineage: Eukaryota; Metazoa; Chordata; Actinopteri; Cypriniformes; Cyprinidae
Source: Ensembl